GGGGAUUAGUGGCGAACGGGUGAGUAACACGUGAGUAACCUGCCCUUAACUCUGGGAUAAGCCUGGGAAACUGGGUCUAAUACCGGAUAUGACUCCUCAUCGCAUGGUGGGGGGUGGAAAGCUUUUGUGGUUUUGGAUGGACUCGCGGCCUAUCAGCUUGUUGGUGAGGUAAUGGCUCACCAAGGCGACGACGGGUAGCCGGCCUGAGAGGGUGACCGGCCACACUGGGACUGAGACACGGCCCAGACUCCUACGGGAGGCAGCAGUGGGGAAUAUUGCACAAUGGGCGGAAGCCUGAUGCAGCGACGCCGCGUGAGGGAUGACGGCCUUCGGGUUGUAAACCUCUUUCAGUAGGGAAGAAGCGAGAGUGACGGUACCUGCAGAAGAAGCGCCGGCUAACUACGUGCCAGCAGCCGCGGUAAUACGUAGGGCGCAAGCGUUAUCCGGAAUUAUUGGGCGUAAAGAGCUCGUAGGCGGUUUGUCGCGUCUGCCGUGAAAGUCCGGGGCUCAACUCCGGAUCUGCGGUGGGUACGGGCAGACUAGAGUGAUGUAGGGGAGACUGGAAUUCCUGGUGUAGCGGUGAAAUGCGCAGAUAUCAGGAGGAACACCGAUGGCGAAGGCAGGUCUCUGGGCAUAACUGACGC
RNAcentral lists this ribosomal RNA (644 nucleotides) under Arthrobacter sp. SMCC G959. RNAcentral's name for it is "bacterial SSU rRNA". It matches the Rfam family "Bacterial small subunit ribosomal RNA", at positions 87 to 746 of the family's 1533-position model. RNAcentral also lists the same sequence under 1 other name. Lineage: Bacteria; Bacillati; Actinomycetota; Actinomycetes; Micrococcales; Micrococcaceae. The record is from RNAcentral.